CCUACGGGUGGCAGCAGUGGGGAAUAUUGGACAAUGGGGGGAACCCUGAUCCAGCGACGCCGCGUGAGUGAAGAAGUAUCUCGGUAUGUAAAGCUCUAUCAGCAGGGAAGAAAGAAAUGACGGUACCUGACUAAGAAGCCCCGGCUAACUACGUGCCAGCAGCCGCGGUAAUACGUAGGGGGCAAGCGUUAUCCGGAUUUACUGGGUGUAAAGGGAGCGUAGACGGCUGAGCAAGUCUGAAGUGAAAGGCGGGGGCCCAACCCCCGGACUGCUUUGGAAACUGUAUAGCUAGAGUGCAGGAGGGGUAAGGGGAAUUCGUGGUGUAGCGGGGAAAUGCGUAGAAAUUAGGAGGAACACCAGUGGCGAAGGCGGCUUACUGGACUGUAACUGACGUUGAGGCUCGAAAGCGUGGGAGCAAACAGGAUUAGAUACCCCAGUAGUC
Molecule: ribosomal RNA, 442 nt
Filed under: uncultured bacterium
Lineage: Bacteria
Description: partial 16S ribosomal RNA
Rfam family: Bacterial small subunit ribosomal RNA
Source: RNAcentral